RNAcentral lists this ribosomal RNA (500 nucleotides) under Alcaligenes faecalis. RNAcentral describes it as "bacterial SSU rRNA". It matches the Rfam family "Bacterial small subunit ribosomal RNA", at positions 39 to 519 of the family's 1533-position model. Lineage: Bacteria; Pseudomonadati; Pseudomonadota; Betaproteobacteria; Burkholderiales; Alcaligenaceae. The record is from RNAcentral.
GGGCGAUCCGGGGAGCUUUACACAUGCAAGUCGACGGCAGCACGAGAGAGCUUGCUCUCUUGGUGGCGAGUGGCGGACGGGUGAGUAAUAUAUCGGAACGUGCCCAGUAGCGGGGGAUAACUACUCGAAAGAGUGGCUAAUACCGCAUACGCCCUACGGGGGAAAGGGGGGGAUUCUUCGGAACCUCUCACUAUUGGAGCGGCCGAUAUCGGAUUAGCUAGUUGGUGGGGUAAAGGCUCACCAAGGCAACGAUCCGUAGCUGGUUUGAGAGGACGACCAGCCACACUGGGACUGAGACACGGCCCAGACUCCUACGGGAGGCAGCAGUGGGGAAUUUUGGACAAUGGGGGAAACCCUGAUCCAGCCAUCCCGCGUGUAUGAUGAAGGCCUUCGGGUUGUAAAGUACUUUUGGCAGAGAAGAAAAGGUAUCUCCUAAUACGAGAUACUGCUGACGGUAUCUGCAGAAUAAGCACCGGCUAACUCCGUGCCAGGCAGCCGCU